This 460-nucleotide ribosomal RNA is filed under the name uncultured bacterium. RNAcentral's name for it is "partial 16S ribosomal RNA". It matches the Rfam family "Bacterial small subunit ribosomal RNA", at positions 338 to 795 of the family's 1533-position model. The record is from RNAcentral.
CCUACGGGCGGCAGCAGUGAGGAAUAUUGGUCAAUGGGCGUGAGCCUGAACCAGCCAAGUCGCGUGAGGGAUGACGGUCCUAUGGAUUGUAAACCUCUUUUAUCAGGGAACAAAGUGUGGGACGUGUCCUCUUUUGUAUGUACCUUAUGAAUAAGGAUCGGCUAACUCCGUGCCAGCAGCCGCGGUAAUACGGAGGAUCCGAGCGUUAUCCGGAUUUUUUUGGGUUAAAGGGUGCGUAGGCGGGCUUUUAAGGUCGCGGGUAAAGUCUGUGGGCCAAACACGGGACUGCCGUUGAAACUGGGGAGCUUGAGUGUGUGAGAGGCAGGCGGAAUGCGUGGUGUAGCGGUGAAAUGCAUAGAUAUCACGCAGAACCCCGAUUGCGAAGGCAGCCUACCGGCGCCCGACUGACGCUGAUGCACGAAAGCGUGGGGAUCGAACAGGAUUAGAUACCCGAGUAGUC